CAGUGGCAGCAGCAGCCAUGGGGAAGCCGGGCGUGGAGGCAGCACCGGGCUCGGAGCUGGCCAGGGUUCCCUAGCCUAUGGAGCACGCAGCCACCACAGGCCCCAGGCCUGGACCUCCCUCUCGGCGGGUGGAGAAUGUUGUGCUACGAGCCAAGGACUGGCUGCCAGGAGCUCCUGGGGGCACCGCAGUGUGGGCCACCAGCUUGGAAGCAGAGGUCCCACCAGAUCUAGCGCUCAAUAAGGAGCAGCAGCUGCAGAUCUCCAAGGAGCUGGUCGACAUUCAGAUCACAACCCACCACCUACAUGAGCAGCACGAGGCUGAAAUCUUCCAGCUGAAGAGUGAGAUCCUUCGGCUGGAGAGCCGGGUACUGGAGCUGGAGCUGCGAGGAGAUGGCACCAGCCAGGGCUGUGCAGUCCCAGUGGAGUCUGACCCCAGGCACCCCCGGGCAGCAGCCCAAGAGCUCAGACACAAAGCCCAGGUGCCUGGACACUCUGAUGACCACAGAUUCCAGGUGCAGCCCAAGAACACCAUGAAUCCCGAGAAUGAGCAGCACAGGCUGGGGAGCGGCGUGAGUGUGCAGCCACCUAGCUCAGGGGAGAGGGCAGCACCAGAGACCCCAAGCCUAGGGUCUCAUCUAGCCAGCCCUGUGUGCCCCACAGCUGCAGGGGGAAGUGAAGCGGGUGCUGGAGCGUCAGGAGGCCUGGCAGCAGGCACUGGUGACGCGUGUGGCAACCCUGGGCCGGCAGCUGCAGGGAGCCCGAGAGGAGGCCAGGGCAGCCGGGCAGCGACUGGCCACACAGGCUGUGGUGCUGUGCAGCUGCCAAGGCCAGCUCCGUCAGGCAGAGGCCGAAAAUGCCCGGCUGCAGCUGCAGCUCAAGAAACUGAAGGAUGAGUACGUCCUACGGCUUCAGCACUGCGCCCGGCAGGCAGUGGUGAGCCCUGCAGGAGCACCCUGAGGCCUAGGGAGCCCAAGCCUGGCCUGGGUGUGCUGGAUAGCUUCAGGGAGACCCCAGGGCCCCAGCACUGCUCAGCCUGCUGGGGUGGGGGGAUGGUUGGAAAAGAU
This 1064-nucleotide small RNA is filed under the name Pan troglodytes (chimpanzee). RNAcentral describes it as "retained intron". The record is from RNAcentral. Lineage: Eukaryota; Metazoa; Chordata; Mammalia; Primates; Hominidae.